GCAGAAGGGCCUAGCCUUAGAGUCCACUGG
RNAcentral lists this non-coding RNA (30 nucleotides) under Homo sapiens (human). Lineage: Eukaryota; Metazoa; Chordata; Mammalia; Primates; Hominidae. The record is from RNAcentral.